GACGAACGCUGGCGGCGUGCUUAAUACAUGCAAGUCGAACGGAAAGGCCCUGCUCUUGCGCGGUGCUCGAGUGGCGAAGGGGUGAGUAACACGCGAGUAACCUGUCCCUGUCAUUGGGAUAACUCCAGGAAACUGGGGCUAAUACAGGAUAGGAGCUCCUGCUGCAUGGUGGGGGUUGGUGAGUUUCGGCGGUUGUGGAUGGUCUCGCGGCUUAUCAGCUUGUUGGUGGAGUAGUGGUUUACCAAGGUUUUGACGGGUAGGCGGCCUGAGAGGGGGACCGGCCACAUUGGGACUGCGAGACGGCCCAGUCGCCUAUGUGCGGCAGCGGUGGGGAAUAUUGCGCAGUGGCCGGAAGCCUGAUACAGCAACGCCGCGUGCGGGAUGACGGCCUUCGGGUUGUAAACCGCUUUCGCCUGAGACGAGGCGUGAGUGACGGUAAUGGGUAAGGAAGCACCGGCUAACUACGUG
This 468-nucleotide ribosomal RNA is filed under the name uncultured bacterium. RNAcentral describes it as "partial 16S ribosomal RNA". It matches the Rfam family "Bacterial small subunit ribosomal RNA", at positions 28 to 507 of the family's 1533-position model. The record is from RNAcentral.